Non-coding RNA from Chiloscyllium plagiosum (whitespotted bambooshark), 316 nucleotides. Lineage: Eukaryota; Metazoa; Chordata; Chondrichthyes; Orectolobiformes; Hemiscylliidae. The record is from RefSeq and is a predicted model, not a curated record.
CAGCUGCAGUGUGUGGAGCUACAUCUAUGGAGCAGGGAGCCAGCCCAAUGUAACUGCAGAAUCUUCCCAUGGUAUUCCCCGGACUUCAGAUCCCAUUUUAAUCAUUGGCACCAUUCUGGGCUUCGCUGUCUUGAUCUGCAUUGUCCUGUUCACAUUUUUCCUUCGGAAACAAAAGCUGUGUUCAUCAGUGAAGGACUCCACACAAGGACUCAGUGACAGCAGCUGGUAACCAGUGUCUCCCUGGAGCUGACAGAAUCCCUCCUUCGACAGGACACAGGCAGAAUGUGAAGGAUUCUCCAGCAGAUUCAGACUCCGC